AGCAGUCGCCACGGUAAUACGGAGGGUGCAAGCGUUAAUCGGAAUUACUGGGCGUAAAGCGUGCGUAGGCGGUUCGUUAAGUCUGUUGUGAAAGCCCCGGGCUCAACCUGGGAAUGGCAAUGGAUACUGGCGAGCUAGAGUGUGUCAGAGGAUGGUGGAAUUCCCGGUGUAGCGGUGAAAUGCGUAGAGAUCGGGAGGAACAUCAGUGGCGAAGGCGGCCAUCUAGGACAACACUGACGCUGAGGCACGAAAGCGUGGGGAGCAAACAGGAUUAGAGACCCCCGUAGUCCCUGUCUCUUAUAC
This 303-nucleotide ribosomal RNA is filed under the name uncultured bacterium. Its description in RNAcentral is "partial 16S ribosomal RNA". It matches the Rfam family "Bacterial small subunit ribosomal RNA", at positions 507 to 807 of the family's 1533-position model. The record is from RNAcentral.